AGCCAUUGUCAGGAGCCUUGCUGAGUAGA
RNAcentral lists this non-coding RNA (29 nucleotides) under Mus musculus (house mouse). The record is from RNAcentral. Lineage: Eukaryota; Metazoa; Chordata; Mammalia; Rodentia; Muridae.